This is a long non-coding RNA of Nasonia vitripennis (jewel wasp), 714 nucleotides long. RefSeq lists it as uncharacterized. Lineage: Eukaryota; Metazoa; Arthropoda; Insecta; Hymenoptera; Pteromalidae. The record is from RefSeq and is a predicted model, not a curated record. The transcript has 3 exons.
GAGAUUUAUUAACUUUAACUUGUAUAUUAGUAAAAUCGAUUAUUAUGUCAUUACACCGCGUAUAUUUAUAUAUAUUUAUAUACAUGAUUAAUUGAUGUAUCACGAAAAAAAGCCGACGAUACGUGAUGUUAUGUAUAAGUUCAUUUUUAUCUCCUUGACAGUUUCAGAUAUCAAUAUAUCUCUUUUGAGCCAACUUGUACUUCUCCACCGUUGCCUACGACCACCUGGGGCUGUGUAGUGGAAGUGCUGUGGAAAAACAUCCAGCAACCACCUUUUUACUGUUUAAUUAUAUCAUAAUUUUGUUAAACAUUUUUAUAAAUCUCUUAAAUUUGACUUUCGCUAUUUUAAGGAACACUUCUACUGGAGGACAUUGCAGACUUGUAGUCUAUUUACCGAGGCUUAGACCCUCUUCGUCGAGGCCUUCAACUAACUGAAGGUACAAAUAACAACAUUCAUCGCUGGAUAUUUAUCAGUCCAUUGGUACCCCUGGAGAGCAAAUUCAGGAAAGCAGCAGAAUUACUGCUACAAGUUUCAGCUAAGGACUAGAAGCAUCGCAACACCAGGUAGAUGCACUAGGAUUAUCAGUGAUAGGAGCAACGGGACAUACAUGAAAAUGAAGAUUAAAUUUCUAUUUUUUAUUUCUAUUGUAUUUUGUAUUAUUAUUGUCAACUUUUGUAUUUUUUGAGUUUUAGUAAUAAAAAAAUGUUAACGCAA